This 485-nucleotide ribosomal RNA is filed under the name uncultured bacterium. RNAcentral's name for it is "partial 16S ribosomal RNA". It matches the Rfam family "Bacterial small subunit ribosomal RNA", at positions 29 to 523 of the family's 1533-position model. The record is from RNAcentral.
AGUGAACGCUGGCGGCGUGCUUAACACAUGCAAGUCGAACGAGAACGGAAUAUAGCUUGCUAUAUUUGUCAGCUAAGUGGCGCACGGGUGAGUAAUGUAUAGAUAACCUGCCCUUAAGAAAGGAAUAACAGUUGGAAACGACUGCUAAUGCCCUAUAUGCCUUUAAUACAUAAGUAUGGAAGGGAAACGCUUUAGUGCUUAAGGAUGGGUCUGUAUGGUAUCAGCUUGUUGGUGAGGUAAUGGCUCACCAAGGCUAUGACGCCUAACUGGUUUGAGAGGAUGAUCAGUCACACUGGAACUGAGACACGGUCCAGACUACUACGGGAGGCAGCAGUGGGGAAUAUUGCACAAUGGACGAAAGUCUGAUGCAGCAACGCCGCGUGGAGGAUGACACAUUUCGGUGCGUAAACUCCUUUUAUAUAGGAAGAUAAUGACGGUACUAUAUGAAUAAGCACCGGCUAACUACGUGCCAGCCGCCGCUGUAA